GCGGGCGGGAGAGGAAGAAAAGCGAAGCUGCUGCGCCCUCCCCUCCCCCAUCUGCGCCCUCCGCUCCCCCCAUCCCGGUCAUGGUAUGGAGCCGUCCCGUGGCGCCGCUGGCGGCGCGCGGCGGUGGGGGGAGGCGGAGACCGAGGGCGAUGCGGCGGAGGAAGGGAGACGAGCGGAGGACGGCGGCGAGGUGAGCCUACGGGAGUGGCUGGACCGACCAGGCCGGGCGGUGGAGGCGGCGGAGUGCUUGCACGUGUUCAGGCAGGUGGCGGAGGCGGUGGCCGUCGCGCACGCACCGGGGGUGGUCGUGGGCAGCGCGCGGCCGUCGUGCUUCGUCGUGUCGCCGCCCUUCGCGCGCGUCGCCUUCAUCGAGUCCGCCUUCGGCUCCGAUGCCUCGGGUUCGUGCUCGGGCUCCGACGCCGACCCAGAUGCCUCGCCUCCGCGGCGAGGGGACGGCGCCGGACGCGGCGAGGAGCGCGCGGGGAAGUCCUUCCCGCUCAAGAGCGUGCUGGCCAUGGAGCUCAACUGGUACACCAGUCCCGAGGAGGCGGACGACAGCGCCGCUACCUUCGCCUCUGAUGUCUAUAGACUGGGUGUGCUCUUGUUCGAGCUGUUCUGCACAUUCGAAACGAUGGAGGACAAGAUGCGGGCAAUGGCGACCGCGAAUCUGAGGCACCGGGUGUUGCCGCCACAGUUGCUGCUCAAAUGGCCCAAGGAAGCAUCUUUCUGCCAGUUGCUAAUGCACCCUGUGCCAGAAACCAGACCGAAGAUGAGGUGCGUCGUGUGCUGUGUACUAUUUUUGUUUCUGCCAGUUGCUAAUGCGUCUCCUCAAAGCUGGGAACUGAUUUGUUUGUUAGUAUAUGUGUUGUGGUCGUACACUCCAUAAGACAGAACGUGGAUUGACAGACACGAGCAUGCAGUUGUUUGAAGAUCAAGCUAGCCUGGGAAAUUGGCUGAAUCUUGCAGAUAGGAAAACCAAUAUUCAUGGGGCAGUAAGAAACACUAGAAUUAAAACAAACACUUAGUAUGCUCCGUAGGGUUUGACCGAGAUAGAGAGUUUUUUUGCAACUGCUGGUGUAAAUAAGAAGAUAAAAGUGUUUGAGUAUAAUAUGAUUGUAAAUGAACACCGUGAUAUUCACUAUCCUGUGGUAGAGAUGUCUAAUAGAUCAAAACUGAGUUGUAUUUCCUGGAACAGUUAUAUGAAGAGCCAUAUAGCAUCUAGAGAUUUUGAGGGUAUAGUGCAGGUAAGUUCUGUGGCAUGUUUUUUAUAACUAAAUUGUAUUUGAUGCAAUUACCAUAAUAUCCCUGUAUUUUCAGGUUUGGGAUGUUACUAGGAGUCAAGUUUUUGUUGAGAUGAGGGAGCAUGAGUGACGUGUGUGGUCGGUGGACUUCUCAAUUGUGGACCCAACAAAAUUGGUCAGUGGGAGUGAUGAUGGAUCUGUGAAGCUAUGGGAUAUGAAUCAGGCUGGGAGUAUUGGCACUAUUAAAACAAGGGAAAAUGUGUGUUCUGUGCAAUUUCAACCUGAUACUGCUCGCUCCAUUGCCAUCGGCUCUGCUGACCACAAAAUUUACUGCUAUGAUCUACGUCACAUACGAGCUCCUUAUUGUACACUAGUUGGGCACACAAAGACUGUAAGCUAUGUUAAGUAUCUGGAUGCAUCGACAAUAGUAUCUGCAUCUACUGACAACUCAUUGAAGCUUUGGGACUUAUCGAUGAGUCCAGGAAGGAUAAUUGACAGUCCAGUUCAAACAUUUAAGGGGCAUACAAAUACAAAGCAAGGUCACUGGAGUUGACGAAGCUAAAGCUGAACUUGAGGAAAUUGUUCACUACCUACGAGAUCCUAAGGCCGCACUUGAAGAAAUCUUAUAUCAGUUUGAGGAAAAACUCCAAGCUGAAAGAGAGGAAGCUGCUAGGAAGCAGGAAGAGUUGCAAGCACAAGUACAAGCUCAACAGGCCGCAUUUGAAGAAAACCAAAGUUUGCUGCGCCAGGCCAAGCACAACUACCUUGCUAGAACAUAUCUGUGGUUAGAACUUUGUCAGAACUACGUGCAAUCUGUUUGAAUGCUUCAAACCUUUGUGGUGGAACCUUUGUAUGUUUGAACCUCUGUUGUGGAAGAACUAGUGUGCUGGAAUUGUGUAUGACUUGUGAUGA
RNA transcript from Zea mays, 2153 nucleotides. It is a transcript of the gene named WD40 superfamily pseudogene, with no coding region annotated. NCBI's taxonomy places the organism in Eukaryota, Viridiplantae, Streptophyta, Magnoliopsida, Poales, Poaceae. The record is from RefSeq and is marked validated. The transcript has 5 exons.